AAAAUAAAAUAAAAUAAAGAAGAAAGAAAGAGAGCAUUAGUAGUGAAACAAAAAUGACAACCAUAUUAAUUUAGCUUCUCAGAGACGACGUUCUUCUGGAAAUAUGGGGCUUACCUUGAAGUUGAGUAUGAUUCAACAACAUGGACAUUCUCCCUAAGUUCAGAUCUGGUUGAUACCCUGUGUAGGUUUAUGCUUUACUCACUUUUUUCUUUCUCGUUUUACCCGACACUUCAAUAUAUUUCAAUUCCAUUCAAGAAGUAUUGAUGUUAUAACUAUAGCUUCUUUGGAUGAUACUUCCUGUGAUGCUUUCAAUACACCAUUCUAAUUAAGAAAGGGCACGCUUGAAUUUGAUUUUGAAGGUUUGAAGGUUGGUUUUUGAGAUCAAAAUAUUGUAUUCUUUUGUGAUUCUAAACCAUUUUUUACUUUAUAGUAAUUUAUGAGAUCUAUUAUUUUAUUGUUCUGCACUCUACAAUCAAGUGAUCAAAUUCUUUAUUUCACUAUCCCUUGCAUAUAUUGAUCACAAAAUUUGACCCGUGUUUAACGCCCAAACGUGACUUCCAUUUAGCGGUGGUUGUAGUAUAGAUCGGGCGGUCGAUUCCACAAGGAGGCAAAGAAGUAAAGUAAUCAAUAAAUAAAGGUUAGAGAUAAAUAAUAUGAGGCAAAUAAAACAAGUGAUAUUUUUGUUGUUUUUGAAAU
Molecule: long non-coding RNA, 696 nt
Organism: Humulus lupulus (European hop)
Lineage: Eukaryota; Viridiplantae; Streptophyta; Magnoliopsida; Rosales; Cannabaceae
Exons: 3
Source: RefSeq, a predicted model, not a curated record